RNAcentral lists this ribosomal RNA (485 nucleotides) under uncultured bacterium. RNAcentral's name for it is "partial 16S ribosomal RNA". It matches the Rfam family "Bacterial small subunit ribosomal RNA", at positions 28 to 507 of the family's 1533-position model. The record is from RNAcentral.
GAUGAACGCUGGCGGCGUGCUUAACACAUGCAAGUCGAACGGGAUCCAAGGGGUGCUUGCACUUUUUGGUGAGAGUGGCGAACGGGUGAGUAACACGUGAGUAACCUGUCCUUUUCUUUGGGAUAAGCAUUCGAAAGGGUGUUUAAUACCUUAUGUUCUGUCUGCCUCGCAUGGGGUGGGUGGGAAAGGCUUUGGCCGGAUUUGGGUGGGCUCGCGGUCUAUCAGCUUGUUGGUGGGGUGAUGGCUUACCAAGGCUUUGACGGGUAGCCGGCCUGAGAGGGUGGUCGGUCACAUUGGGACUGAGAUGCGGCCCAGACUCCUGCGGGAGGCAGCAGUGGGCGAUAUUGCACAAUGGGCGAAAGCCUGAUGCAGCGACGCCGCGUGGGGGAUGAAGGCCUUCGGGUUGUAAACUUCUUUUGCUCUGAACAAGGCAUGCCAGUGGGUGUGUUGAGUGUAGGGGUUGAUUAGCGCCGGCUAACUACGUG